Non-coding RNA from Camelina sativa (false flax), 275 nucleotides. NCBI's taxonomy places the organism in Eukaryota, Viridiplantae, Streptophyta, Magnoliopsida, Brassicales, Brassicaceae. The record is from RefSeq and is a predicted model, not a curated record.
CGUUCAAUUCCCGUUAAUUAUUCUUCUCCCUCAAGUGCAACUAAGGAUAACUCGAUUCUGGAAUCAUAAUGGUUCGUACAAAGAACCCAAGCUAUGUGGAAAAAUCGAAUCCCCCAGCAGAUCUCGAAGAAGAAGCAACUCGUGGAGAUGAAUCAGAACGUGAUUCCGAUAAAACGGACUCAAUUGAGAAGUCAAAUGAUAAGGAUUCAUCGGAAUCUGAGGAUGAAUCCGAUGUAAUGCAACCUUUGAGUAUGUACUUUGAUUACUCCCAGUAU